AGUGAACGCUGGCGGUAGGCCUAACACAUGCAAGUCGAACGGCAGCACAGUAAGAGCUUGCUCUUACGGGUGGCGAGUGGCGGACGGGUGAGGAAUACAUCGGAAUCUACUUUUUCGUGGGGGAUAACGUAGGGAAACUUACGCUAAUACCGCAUACGACCUCCGGGUGAAAGCAGGGGAUCUUCGGACCUUGCGCGUUUGAUGGAGCCGAUGUCGGAUUAGCUAGUUGGCGGGGUAAAGGCCCACCAAGGCGACGAUCCGUAGCUGGUCUGAGAGGAUGAUCAGCCACACUGGAACUGAGACACGGUCCAGACUCCUACGGGAGGCAGCAGUGGGGAAUAUUGGACAAUGGGCGCAAGCCUGAUCCAGCCAUACCGCGUGGGUGAAGAAGGCCUUCGGGUUGUAAAGCCCUUUUGUUGGGAAAGAAAAGCAGCAGGUUAAUACCCCGCUGUUCUGACGGUACCCAAAGAAUAAGCACCGGCUAACUUCGUG
RNAcentral lists this ribosomal RNA (492 nucleotides) under uncultured bacterium. Its description in RNAcentral is "partial 16S ribosomal RNA". It matches the Rfam family "Bacterial small subunit ribosomal RNA", at positions 29 to 507 of the family's 1533-position model. The record is from RNAcentral.